This 118-nucleotide ribosomal RNA is filed under the name Periophthalmus magnuspinnatus. The record is from RNAcentral. Lineage: Eukaryota; Metazoa; Chordata; Actinopteri; Gobiiformes; Gobiidae.
GUCAGUGGACAAACCUCCUUGUCAAAGCCUAACCUUGUCAGAUCUCAGAAGCUAAGCAGGGUUGAGCCUGGUUAGUACUUGGACAGGAGACCGCUGGGAAUUUUAGAUUGCAUAGUGG